This 406-nucleotide ribosomal RNA is filed under the name uncultured bacterium. RNAcentral's name for it is "partial 16S ribosomal RNA". It matches the Rfam family "Bacterial small subunit ribosomal RNA", at positions 29 to 526 of the family's 1533-position model. The record is from RNAcentral.
AUUGAACGCUGGCGGCAGGCCUAACACAUGCAAGUCGAACGAGUGGCGGACGGGUGAGUAAUGUCUGGGAAACUGCCUGAUGGAGGGGGAUAACUAAUGGAAACGGUAGCUAAUACCGCAUACCAUCAGAUGUGCCCAGAUGGGAUUAGAUAGUAGGUGGGGUAACGGCUCACCUAGGCGACGAUCCCUAGCUGGUCUGAGAGGCUGACCAGCCACACUGGAACGGAGACACGGUCCAGACUCCUACGGGAGGCAGCAGUGGGGAAUAGUGCACAAGGGGCGCAAGCCUGAUGCAGCCAGGCCGCGUGUAUGAAGAAGGCCUUCGGGUUGUAAAGUACUUUCAGCGGGGAGGCGUUAACCGCAGAAGAAGCACCGGCUAACUCCGUGCCAGCAGCCGCGGUAAUAC